RNAcentral lists this ribosomal RNA (206 nucleotides) under uncultured Bacteroidota bacterium. Its description in RNAcentral is "uncultured Bacteroidetes bacterium partial 16S ribosomal RNA". It matches the Rfam family "Bacterial small subunit ribosomal RNA", at positions 568 to 774 of the family's 1533-position model. Lineage: Bacteria; Pseudomonadati; Bacteroidota. The record is from RNAcentral.
UGCGUAGGCGGACUAUUAAGUCAGUGGUGAAUCCUGCAGCUUAACUGCAGAACUGCCAUUGAUACUGAUAGCCUUGAGUUUGGUUAAGGUAGGCGGAAUGUGUAAUGUAGCGGUGAAAUGCUUAGAUAUUACACAGAACACCAAUUGCGUAGGCAGCUUACUGAGCCGACACUGACGCUGAGGCACGAAAGCGUGGGGAUCGAACA